RNAcentral lists this ribosomal RNA (496 nucleotides) under uncultured bacterium. RNAcentral's name for it is "partial 16S ribosomal RNA". It matches the Rfam family "Bacterial small subunit ribosomal RNA", at positions 28 to 506 of the family's 1533-position model. The record is from RNAcentral.
GAUGAACGCUGGCGGCGUGCCUAAUACAUGCAAGUCGAGCGAACAGACGAGGAGCUUGCUCCUCUGACGUUAGCGGCGGACGGGUGAGUAACACGUGGAUAACCUACCUAUAAGACUGGGAUAACUUCGGGAAACCGGAGCUAAUACCGGAUAAUAUAUUGAACCGCAUGGUUCAAUAGUGAAAGACGGUUUUGCUGUCACUUAUAGAUGGAUCCGCGCCGCAUUAGCUAGUUGGUAAGGUAACGGCUUACCAAGGCAACGAUGCGUAGCCGACCUGAGAGGGUGAUCGGCCACACUGGAACUGAGACACGGUCCAGACUCCUACGGGAGGCAGCAGUAGGGAAUCUUCCGCAAUGGGCGAAAGCCUGACGGAGCAACGCCGCGUGAGUGAUGAAGGUCUUCGGAUCGUAAAACUCUGUUAUUAGGGAAGAACAAAUGUGUAAGUAACUAUGCACGUCUUGACGGUACCUAAUCAGAAAGCCACGGCCAACUACGU